GAUGAACGCUAGCUACAGGCUUAACACAUGCAAGUCGAGGGACCGGCGCACGUGUGAGUAACGCGUAUCCCACCUGCCCAUAAGUAGGGUAUAACCCGCAGAAAUGCGGUCUUAUCCCCUAUCCUUAUGGGGGGGGAUGCGUCCGAUUAGCUUGUUGGUGAGGUAACGGCCCACCAAGUCGUCGAUCGGUAGUGGUUCUGAGAGGAAGGCCCCCCACAUAGGAACUGAGACACGGUCCUAACUCCUACGGGAGGCAGCAGUGAGGAAUAUUGGUCAAUGGGCGAGAGCCUGAACCAGCCAAGUAGCGUGAAGGAAGAAGGCCUAUGGGUCGUAAACUGCUUUUAUGCGGGGAUAGGUACCGUAUGAAUAAGGACCGGCUAAUUCCGUGCCAGCAGCCGCGGUAAUAC
This 407-nucleotide ribosomal RNA is filed under the name uncultured bacterium. RNAcentral describes it as "partial 16S ribosomal RNA". It matches the Rfam family "Bacterial small subunit ribosomal RNA", at positions 28 to 526 of the family's 1533-position model. The record is from RNAcentral.